UUCCCCUAGUAACGGCGAGUGAAGCGGGAUCAGCUCAAACUUAAAAUCUCCGUUGCUUGCAACGGCGAAUUGUAGUCUCGAGAAGCGUUUUCAAGGCGGAUGCGCAGUACUUAAGUUGCUUGGAACGGCACAUCGUAGAGGGUGACAAUCCCGUACGUGGUACUGUGCAUCGUUCACGAUGCGCUUUCUAUGAGUCGGGUUGCUUGGUAAUGCAGCCCAAAAUGGGAGGUAAACUCCUUCUAAAGCUAAAUAUUGGCACGAGACCGAUAGCGAACAAGUACCGUGAGGGAAAGAUGAAAAGCACUUUGAAAAGAAAGUUAAUAGUACGUGAAACCGUUAGGAGGGAAGCGCAUGGAAUUAGCAAUGCACUGUCGAGAUUCAGACGAUCGGUGCUCAGUACGGGCUUCGUACGGAUCCGAAUGGACCGUUGGCGUUCGUCACUUAGUACUGGUUGUCGCAUUUCCCGUCAGUGUGCGUCAACAGGUGUUGGAACCGAGUGAUACGCCUCGCAAAAAGGUAGCUGGUUUCGGUCAGUGUUAUAGCUUGUGAUGUGCUAGCUCGGAUCCGACAGAGGUGUCGCAGCACAUGCCCUCACGGGCUGGCUUCUGCUUCCUCAGUUUGGCGUGACCAUAGCGGACUGCAUGCAGUGCGCUUGAACUUCCUCAGGCUGUCGGAGGCAAGAAUGCACACUAUGUGCUUAGGUUGUUGGCGGUCAUAUGGUUUCAUGCGACCCCGUCUUGAAACACGGACCAAGGAGUCUAACAUGUGUGCGAGUCUUAGGGUGAUUUGAAACCCGCAGGCACAAUGAAAGUAAAGGCUCUUUGAGCUGAGGUGAGAUCUCUUUUGACUUUCGGUUGAAGAGCGCAUCAUCGACCGACCUAUUCUACUCCUAGAAAGGUUUGAGUAAGAGCACAUCUGUUGGGACCCGAAAGAUGGUGAACUAUGCUUGAGUAGGGCG
RNAcentral lists this ribosomal RNA (958 nucleotides) under Apolemiidae environmental sample. Its description in RNAcentral is "partial large subunit ribosomal RNA". It matches the Rfam family "Eukaryotic large subunit ribosomal RNA", at positions 75 to 848 of the family's 3401-position model. Lineage: Eukaryota; Metazoa; Cnidaria; Hydrozoa; Siphonophorae; Apolemiidae. The record is from RNAcentral.